RNAcentral lists this long non-coding RNA (508 nucleotides) under Rattus norvegicus (Norway rat). Its description in RNAcentral is "long non-coding RNA NONRATT033051". Lineage: Eukaryota; Metazoa; Chordata; Mammalia; Rodentia; Muridae. The record is from RNAcentral.
GCAACCUAGAGGGCGGUCGAUAUGGCUCUCUCGGAAGUGCUUGUAUGACUUUAGGGGGAAAAGAGGCCUCACUGGAAAAGCAACAGGGAGGAAAGACCCUAGCCAUGUUCGUGAUGGUGGACAUUCUGGAAGGGAGCCUUGGCAGCUGUGACUGGAGCUCUGCCUGCCCCUCUGCUACCGACCUCCUUGGGUGUGUGUGACCACCGUGGCAAGUUGCAACAGUUUCUUCAGUCAACCCCCCCCCCCCCACACACACACACACUUGCAGUGUGAGUCACCUUCAAUUUCCUGCCUGCCUGCCUCUUCCCUGAUGGACCUGAUAAAUCCAGGACAGCUUUUAUUGCUUUUGGCAAAACAGUGCCAUUAAGAUUUACGGAGCCAAAAGCUGGUACAAUGUAAUCUUCAAAGUAAUUUACACAGCGAGUUUCAGAAGAUGAAAAGUUAGCGUUUCCGAGGUAAUUUCAUAAAAAGGAUUAUCAGAUUAAUCACUGUGUCGAUUUAAUCGUGG